CUUCCCUCGCCGCCUCCUGGCCUUCGCACCGACGCGGCCCGGGCUGGAGCCGAGCCGGGGCCGAGCUGCAGGCCGAUCCGGAGCCGGAUCCGUACCCGCAGAGACGUGGAAACAUGGAGGCCUGAGCCGGUGUGCGCCACCUGGGGCUGCGGCGGCGACAGCGACUUCUCCUGACCCCUCUGCCACCCGCCCGUCCGUCCGCCGGUCUGUGGAACUGGAGCUGAUCCCCCCGCCGGCUGAGACAGGCUGUCUUUUGGAAAUGCAGGUUUAAGGACAAACUAUCUGCUUAAGCUAGAAGAUGGGAUCGAAUAGCAGCAGAAUUGGCGAUCUUCCUAAAAAUCAGUACUUGAAAAAGUUAUCAGGCACGGAAUCCAUCUCUGAGAAUGACCCGUUCUGGAAUCAGCUUCUCUCGUUUUCUUUCCCUGCACCAACUAGCAGAGUUUCACUCUUGUUGCCCAGGCUGGAGUACAGUGGUGUGAUCUUGGCUCACCACAACCUCCGCCUCCCGGGAUUAAGUGAUUCUUCUGCUUCAGCCUCCCAAGUAGCUGAGAUU
This 553-nucleotide small RNA is filed under the name Pongo abelii (Sumatran orangutan). RNAcentral's name for it is "processed transcript". Lineage: Eukaryota; Metazoa; Chordata; Mammalia; Primates; Hominidae. The record is from RNAcentral.